UACACUCCUACGGGAGGCAGCAGUGGGGAAUAUUGGACAAUGGGCGCAAGCCUGAUCCAGCCAUGCCGCGUGAGUGAUGAAGGCCCUAGGGUUGUAAAGCUCUUUCACCGGUGAAGAUAAUGACGGUAACCGGAGAAGAAGCCCCGGCUAACUUCGUGCCAGCAGCCGCGGUAAUACGAAGGGGGCUAGCGUUGUUCGGAUUUACUGGGCGUAAAGCGCACGUAGGCGGACUAUUAAGUCAGGGGUGAAAUCCCGGGGCUCAACCCCGGAACUGCCUUUGAUACUGGUAGUCUUGAGUUCGAGAGAGGUGAGUGGAAUUCCGAGUGUAGAGGUGAAAUUCGUAGAUAUUCGGAGGAACACCAGUGGCGAAGGCGGCUCACUGGCUCGAUACUGACGCUGAGGUGCGAAAGCGUGGGGAGCAAACAGGAUUAGAUACCCUAGUAGUCCCAUG
Molecule: ribosomal RNA, 451 nt
Filed under: uncultured organism
Description: partial 16S ribosomal RNA
Rfam family: Bacterial small subunit ribosomal RNA
Source: RNAcentral